UCUCUUAGCGGGAUGCCCAGCCCUGAGCAAGGAGCCUCAGAAUGGCGGCCAGGAGAGGUGCUGGGAGGGAGCACUGCCAGGGGGCAGGCGUGCUCAGCCAUAGUCCGGGCUCCUUGCUCAGGGCUGGGGCCUCAUGUCUCUCUCCAUGUGGGAUGAGCUGCUUGGAACACUCUUCUGAAGGGUGUCUGACACAUGGUGAAUCACAGCCAUCAGCGCUAAUACAAGGCUCAGCUGAGGCAGAGGGAGGAGAGGAAGGAGGAGAAAGAAAGAAAAGGUUGGAAAUCACAGCCACCUGUCUGCAGCUGGGGUGCUUCUUAUCAGAGGAUGUGAGGUGA
Molecule: long non-coding RNA, 335 nt
Filed under: Numida meleagris (helmeted guineafowl)
Lineage: Eukaryota; Metazoa; Chordata; Aves; Galliformes; Numididae
Description: lncRNA (ENSNMEG00000016711.1)
Source: RNAcentral